RNAcentral lists this long non-coding RNA (267 nucleotides) under Hordeum vulgare. RNAcentral's name for it is "long non-coding RNA (HVUL_LNC010059)". Lineage: Eukaryota; Viridiplantae; Streptophyta; Magnoliopsida; Poales; Poaceae. The record is from RNAcentral.
CACCAUUGCUUCUUCAUAAUUUGCAGGUUCAUUGUUGUCCAACAACAUGAUUGAUAAGACGGGAUUACCGUACCACUCUGGAGCAGCACGUGGUCUCGUCGACCUGCGUGGUUCGAUAGAAACUGGAACCGGAGUUUCAUGAUCAUCAUCAUUAACUUCCUCCUCAACCGGCGCCGCAACGACAGAGGUUUCCCCUUGCCCUGAGCCACCAUCCAGAGGGAUGAGAGGUUCGACAACCUCGUCAAGUUCUGUCUUCCUCCCACUCAA